Molecule: unclassified non-coding RNA, 527 nt
Filed under: Hevea brasiliensis (rubber tree)
Lineage: Eukaryota; Viridiplantae; Streptophyta; Magnoliopsida; Malpighiales; Euphorbiaceae
Source: RNAcentral
GGUUUCCGCAAACGUUCUUUGGGUGUUGUUCAAUUUGAUACUACAAAGAACCGAUAUUUGGCUGCUGGUGAUGAUUUCUCUAUCAAGUUUUGGGAUAUGGACAAUAUUCAAAAUUUGACAUCAAUUGAUGCUGAUGGAGGUCUUCCAGCAAGCCCACGUAUCCGCUUCAACAAAGAUGGCACUCUCUUGGCAGUUUCUGCCAAUGAGAAUGGUAUUAAAAUAUUGGCAAAUUCGGAUGGUCUUAGAUUGUUGCGUUCGUUUGAGAAUCUUUCUUAUGAUGCCUCACGAGCAUCUGAAACUGUUACAAAGCCCAUAAUUAACCCAAUCUCAGCAGCAGCAGCAGCGGCGGCGGCAGCUGCAGCUGCAACUAGUUCUGGACUUGCAGAUAGAAGUGCUUCUGUGGUUACUAUUCCAGGAAUGAAUGGAGAUGCUCGGAACUUGGGAGAUGUGAAACCUAGAAUAACUGAAGAAGCCAAUGACAAGUCGAAGAUAUGGAAACUCACUGAAAUUAAUGAACCAUCUCAAUG